GUAUUAAUAGCUUAGUUAAAGCACAAAUUUUUUAAGUUUGAGACGUAUUUUUUACUUAGUAUU
RNAcentral lists this transfer RNA (63 nucleotides) under Hutchinsoniella macracantha. RNAcentral's name for it is "tRNA-Lys". It matches the Rfam family "tRNA". From Rfam's summary of the family: Transfer RNA (tRNA) molecules are approximately 80 nucleotides in length. Their secondary structure includes four short double-helical elements and three loops (D, anti-codon, and T loops). The record is from RNAcentral. Lineage: Eukaryota; Metazoa; Arthropoda; Cephalocarida; Brachypoda; Hutchinsoniellidae.